UGCUGAUAUUCUUGCUUUUUAUCGUUUCAUUACAUGUCUAUAAAGGAAUGUUAUCUCUAGUACUUAUUAUUCCUUUUUAACACAUUCUGGAAAUAACUACUAAUGUGUACUAUCUAUGUAGAACACCGAUAUCCAUACCAAAUAAGUAGAAGCAUGUUACCAUAAAAGAUAAGUCAUGCUUGCAGGAGGGUCCAAGAUCAACUAAAGAGAAUAGUUUGUGAAAAAUAGAAGUUAGUGCUGAAGUAAACUGGAGGUUGUGUCAGCACUCAGCAGUAAGGCUUCGAUGGUUAUUUGGUAACACUGCUUCCUUAGUAUUUGGUUCUUAAUAAUUGAUUGCUUCAUGGUAUGAUUUUAUAAAUACAGAUUGGCAGAAUUGGAGAAGCAAAAUGAAAAUCCAUGACACUGUUAGUUAGUUUAAUCAAUGAAAAAGGCAGAGUUGAGUAAAUGAUUGAAGAAAAAUUUCAAGUGAGGGUUGUAGCUCAAGGUCGACGAUCAAAUGAUAAAAAUUAAUCUUUAUGGAGGAGUGAUGAAAUCAAAAUCAACCGAGACAUGAAUAAAUUAUUUUUCUAUUGCAAAAGUAUAUUAACAUGUUUGAGUAAAAUGAUGUUUCGCAUCUUUAAUGAUAUUGUUGAACAUUUAUUUAUUUAUUUCAAUGUAUUGCAUUUAUUGAAAAUUGUAAGAUAUGCUACUGUUUCAUGCUAAAAAUAAA
Molecule: long non-coding RNA, 709 nt
Organism: Capsicum annuum
Lineage: Eukaryota; Viridiplantae; Streptophyta; Magnoliopsida; Solanales; Solanaceae
Exons: 3
Source: RefSeq, a predicted model, not a curated record